Molecule: ribosomal RNA, 254 nt
Filed under: uncultured bacterium
Lineage: Bacteria
Description: partial 16S ribosomal RNA
Rfam family: Bacterial small subunit ribosomal RNA
Source: RNAcentral
UACGUAGGGUGCGAGCGUUGUCCGGAAUUAUUGGGCGUAAAGGGCUCGUAGGCGGUUUGUCGCGUCGGGAGUGAAAUCCACUGGCUUAACUGGUGGCUUGCUUUCGAUACGGGCAGACUGGAGGUAUGCAGGGGAGAACGGAAUUCCUGGUGUAGCGGUGAAAUGCGCAGAUAUCAGGAGGAACACCGGUGGCGAAGGCGGUUCUCUGGGCAUGUCCUGACCGCUGAGGAGCGAAAGUGUGGGGAGCGAACAGG